Molecule: ribosomal RNA, 253 nt
Filed under: uncultured bacterium
Lineage: Bacteria
Description: partial 16S ribosomal RNA
Rfam family: Bacterial small subunit ribosomal RNA
Source: RNAcentral
UACAGAGGUCUCAAGCGUUGUUCGGAUUCAUUGGGCGUAAAGGGUGCGUAGGCGGCGCGGGAAGGCGGGUGUGAAAUCUCGGAGCUUAACUCCGAAACUGCAUUCGAUACUGCCGUGCUUGAGGACUGGAGAGGAGACUGGAAUUUACGGUGUAGCGGUGAAAUGCGUAGAUAUCGUAAGGAAGACCAGUGGCGAAGGCGGGUCUCUGGACAGUUCCUGACGCUGAGGCACGAAGGCCAGGGGAGCAAACGGG